UACAGAGGUCUCAAGCGUUGUUCGGAUUCAUUGGGCGUAAAGGGUGCGUAGGUGGCGCCGUAAGGCGGGUGUGAAAUUUCGGAGCUUAACUCCGAAACUGCAUUCGAUACUGCGGUGCUUGAGGACUGGAGAGGAGACUGGAAUUCAUGGUGUAGCAGUGAAAUGCGUAGAGAUCAUGAGGAAGACCAGUGGCGAAGGCGGGUCUCUGGACAGUUCCUGACACUGAGGCACGAAGGCCAGGGGAGCAAACGGG
This 253-nucleotide ribosomal RNA is filed under the name uncultured bacterium. Its description in RNAcentral is "partial 16S ribosomal RNA". It matches the Rfam family "Bacterial small subunit ribosomal RNA", at positions 524 to 776 of the family's 1533-position model. The record is from RNAcentral.